UAAACUGCAGCAACGACUAGCAUGCAAUAUUUUAAUUAAGAAACAUAUCACAUAAGUCACGGUUAUCUUAGACUUAUUAAUCUAUCUAGCAGCAAAACACAUCUUGAUUUUUGUUUGCACACGCCAUACUUUUAUGUAAGAGUAAAUUAAAAAAAUCCAGAGAUUUCACGCAGAUACCCAUUUACGUUUUAGUUGCUAAACACCGUCGGAUUUACUUGACCUCUUGUUCGCUAGCGUCUGAUAUUUCUCCCGAGGCGGCGGCGGCGCUUGCCCAAAGCAAGAAGGCGCCUGCCAGUCCUCACCCUCCUCCUCCUCCAUUUUCGCAUCCUCGUCGCCGCCACAGGAGCACUGGAGCUUGGCCCUCGACAGAGGCGGGCGGCGGCUGGAACAGGGCACCGAGGCGCGGGCGGCUCGAGACUCUAGAGAGACCAUGAGGAGCACCAGAAGAUUGAGAACGUGGACGCGGAGCCGAGGGAGUUGGCUUUCGUGUCCCGGACUCGCCGGACGAGCAGAUCGAGCAGCAGCGGUGCUCGGCCGUCGUUGGGGAAGAUGAACGCGGCGCCGGCGAUUCGUUGAAGAUGGCGUCGAUUACUCCGAGGGGGAGCUUCAUCACGACAAGGCGAAGCUCGGUGACACGUUGGUGCGGCUCGGCGAGGUCUCUAGCCGCGGUGGCGCAAGGCGGCGGCGCGCGGACGCGCUCUGGACGUCAGGCAUGCCGUUCGCGUUCCGUGCAGAGCAGAGAACAUGAGGAGGUGCGUCUUGCGGAUCUGGG
This 772-nucleotide long non-coding RNA is filed under the name Brachypodium distachyon (stiff brome). RNAcentral's name for it is "long non-coding RNA (BDIS_LNC005306)". Lineage: Eukaryota; Viridiplantae; Streptophyta; Magnoliopsida; Poales; Poaceae. The record is from RNAcentral.